Molecule: ribosomal RNA, 468 nt
Filed under: uncultured bacterium
Lineage: Bacteria
Description: partial 16S ribosomal RNA
Rfam family: Bacterial small subunit ribosomal RNA
Source: RNAcentral
GAUGAACGCCGGCGGCGUGCUUAACACAUGCAAGUCGAACGGAAAGGCCCAAGCUUGCUUGGGUACUCGAGUGGCGAAAGGGUGAGUAACACGUGGGUGAUCUGCCCUGCACUUCGGGAUAAGCCUGGGAAACUGGGUCUAAUCCCGGAUAGGACGAUGGUUUGGAUGCCAUUGUGGAAAGUUUUUUCGGUGUGGGAUGAGCUCGCGGCCUAUCAGCUUGUUGGUGGGGUAAUGGCCUACCAAGGCGUCGACGGGUAGCCGGCCUGAGAGGGUGUACGGCCACAUUGGGACUGGGAUACGGCCCAGACUCCUACGGGAGGCAGCAGUGGGGAAUAUUGCACAAUGGGCGCAAGCCUGAUGCAGCGACGCCGCGUGGGGGAUGACGGCCUUCGGGUUGUAAACUCCUUUCGCUAGGGACGAAGCGUUUUUGUGACGGUACCUGGAGAAGAAGCACCGGCUAACUACGUG